UAUUAAUGUUUUUUCUCUCUUCUACAAAAUGUUUUGUAACGACAAGCCUCGCCCGUCUACGAAGAUUCGGUCCCCGCGCUCCCUCUGCAUUGACUUUUACUGUAGUGAAAAUUCUUAACUGGACAUGUAUUUCAUGUCUGUCUAACCACUGCAAAAACGUGUCCACUGCUUCCACCACAGAUUCCAUAUAUCUCCAAAAUCCUUUUUAUUUUUCCUUAUUCUUUGUACACAGGUUACAAUUAAACAUUAACCAAAAACUGAUAAUUACAUUAAAACAAAUUCUCUCUUUCUAAAAUAAAACUUAUCAUUCUUCAGUACGAGCCGACAAUAUACUUCUACAA
RNAcentral lists this long non-coding RNA (341 nucleotides) under Androctonus crassicauda. Lineage: Eukaryota; Metazoa; Arthropoda; Arachnida; Scorpiones; Buthidae. The record is from RNAcentral.